Molecule: ribosomal RNA, 445 nt
Filed under: uncultured bacterium
Lineage: Bacteria
Description: bacterial SSU rRNA
Rfam family: Bacterial small subunit ribosomal RNA
Source: RNAcentral
GUGGGGAAUUUUGCGCAAUGGGGGAAACCCUGACGCAGCAAUGCCGCGUGGAGGACGAAGGUCUUCGGAUUGUAAACUCCUUUUGCGGGGGACAAAUAGCGGCGUGAAUAACGCCGACUGAUGGUACUCCGUGAAUAAGCCACGGCUAACUUCGUGCCAGCAGCCGCGGUAAGACGAAGGUGGCGAGCGUUACUCGGAAUUACUAGGCGUAAAGCGUGGGCAGGCGGUUUGGUAAGUCUGCUGUGAAAGCCCCGGGCUCAACCCGGGGAGGUCAGUGGAUACUGCCGGACUUGGAUGUGGGAGAGGUGACUGGAAUUCCUGGUGUAGCGGUGAAAUGCGUAGAUAUCAGGAGGAACACCGAUGGCGAAAGCAGGUCACUGGACCACUAUCGACGCUCAUCCACGAAAGCUGGGGGAUCAAACAGGAUUAGAAACCCCAGUAGUCC